Molecule: long non-coding RNA, 768 nt
Filed under: Capra hircus (goat)
Lineage: Eukaryota; Metazoa; Chordata; Mammalia; Artiodactyla; Bovidae
Description: lncRNA (ENSCHIG00010000722.1)
Source: RNAcentral
GCAAAUCACUGGGCUUGGAUGCAGACUGGCUAGCGAACUGGGGUGCACUUUUCGCCAGAUCCUUGCUUUUGAAGGAGGGAAGGGGCUGUGUGCAAUGGGAGGAUGAUGAUGAUUAUGAAAUACACGGCAAUGUAUGGAGUAAAAGUGCCUGGGAAGAGCACACUUUGGGUGGUGGUAGAGGCAGAGGCGGCAUGCUAGGAAUGAGUGGGCAGGGGCUGUAAGGCAGAAGAUUGUUGCUUUGAAGAGAGUGGUGUAGGGAUGUGGCUUGAGUGUGAGAUACAGGGAGGAUGGGUGUGAAAUUAUGGUCCAUAUGAUUUUUUUUUAAGCUAGAUGACUCUUGAUUUCUUCAUAAAUCUUUGCCCACCUUUAACCUCUCUUCCAUCAUUGGUAUAUUUGUAGGAGAGAUAAGUUGAUCAAAUGUAUUUGUCCCUGGAUAAAAGGAAUCUGAAAGUAAGACAUAUAGAACCACAGGCAUACAAUCGGCCUUUGGAGGAUUUAAAUGAGGUCAAUGAACCAUCUUUCAGCAAGUUCUUGGAAUGCAUCCUGUUUCCUAGCCUCCUCCAGGAUAUAGACCAGGACCGUAUUUUAUUUAUGCAUAUUUAUGAAUGUAAAAGACGAGAUAGUGGGCAGAAUUUUCCUGAAUUAACUAACCAAACUUGCAGAGCGUGUCUCUCUUGCUUCUUUACUUCUACCUUAGUCAUGAUGAGCGCAUCUUUUAUGCUGAAUGCAGUUCCUGAGAUACAGCUCACUCCUCCCUGUUUUGAUUAA